CGGCUAGUACCGCAUAAUGUCUUAGUUCAUUGAGCUAGGACCAAAGGUGGCCUCUACAUGUAAGCUAUCGCGUUGGGAUGGGCCCAGUUAGGAUUAGCUAGUUGGUAAGGUAAUGGCUUACCAAGGCGACGAUCCUUAGCUGGUUUGAGAGGAUGAUCAGCCACACUGGGACUGAGACACGGCCCAGACUCCUACGGGAGGCAGCAGUGGGGAAUAUUGCACAAUGGGGGAGACCCUGAUGCAGCCAUGCCGCGUGUGUGAAGAAGGCCUUCGGGUUGUAAAGCACUUUCAGCAGUGAGGAAGGUCGUGUGCUUAAUACGUGCACGGCUUGACGUUAGCUGCAGAAGAAGCACCGGCUAACUCCGUGCCAGCAGCCGCGGUAAUACGGAGGGUGCGAGCGUUAAUCGGAAUUACUGGGCGUAAAGCGCAUGCAGGCGGUUUGUUAAGUCAGAUGUGAAAGCCCGGGGCUCAACCUCGGAACCGCAUUUGAAACUGGCAGGCUAGAGUCUUGUAGAGGGGGGUAGAAUUUCAGGUGUAGCGGUGAAAUGCGUAGAGAUCUGAAGGAAUACCAGUGGCGAAGGCGGCCCCCUGGACAAAGACUGACGCUCAGAUGCGAAAGCGUGGGUAGCAAACAGGAUUAGAUACCCUGGUAGUCCACGCCGUAAACGCUGUCUACUUGGAGG
RNAcentral lists this ribosomal RNA (683 nucleotides) under uncultured bacterium. RNAcentral's name for it is "bacterial SSU rRNA". It matches the Rfam family "Bacterial small subunit ribosomal RNA", at positions 160 to 823 of the family's 1533-position model. The record is from RNAcentral.